Molecule: transfer RNA, 69 nt
Filed under: Trachipterus trachypterus (ribbon fish)
Lineage: Eukaryota; Metazoa; Chordata; Actinopteri; Lampriformes; Trachipteridae
Description: tRNA-Gly
Rfam family: tRNA
About the family: Transfer RNA (tRNA) molecules are approximately 80 nucleotides in length. Their secondary structure includes four short double-helical elements and three loops (D, anti-codon, and T loops).
Source: RNAcentral
AUCUUCCUAGUACAGACAGUAUAGGUGACUUCCAAUCACUUGGCCCCAGUUAAAAUCCGGGGGUAGAUA